Molecule: long non-coding RNA, 1484 nt
Organism: Tigriopus californicus
Lineage: Eukaryota; Metazoa; Arthropoda; Copepoda; Harpacticoida; Harpacticidae
Exons: 3
Source: RefSeq, a predicted model, not a curated record
AUGAAAAAAUGAGAAGAAUUGGUUUUCAUUCAGCCACGGGUAAUUUCGGUCAAAUGAUUCGUCGGCACAAAAUCGACAAAGUUACUUCCAGUGGAGCAAGAGCAACUUACGAGGGACUCAAGCACGAACUGCCAAUGAAGAUGGCAUACGAAGAUGUCAUUGAUGCUUUGAGAUCUGAGCCAAAUUAUCUCAUGCAUGUUCAGGCACUGCGGCGUUGGCCUACAACGCCCAUGUUGGUCCAUGGAUCACUCUCGGUUUUUUCAGGAAAGUCUAUGGCUAUCUAUAAAAACAAUUGUCAACAUAUUUUGUUCGUAUGAAGACUUUUGAACAAACUGGCUUUCACUUUCAACUUUAGGCCGAUGUUGGGUUUAUGCCUGAAUACAACUGCUACACUAUGUUCCUUUCCGGUGAGGAUAUACAUGGAUAAAGAUACCAGUGACUUGACUCUCCGACUUUUGUUCUAGUUGUGGACGUUUUUUCCAAAAUGAUCGCUGCUAGGUCCAUUUUCCGAAAAGAUUUGUCAGCUAUAAAAUGUGCGUUUUUGUCCAUGUUCAAACAGUUGGGUCAACCAGAUCAACUUCACCUUGAUCAGGGCAGUGAAUUUUCCUUAAAAAGUUGGCUUAAUGACCAAGGCAUUUAUCUUAGUGUGAAAACGGCGCCUUUAAAAUGUUCUUUUGCCGAGCAUAGUAUCCAUCUCAUCAAACUGAAAUUAACAAUCUUGCUAAGGACCAAACUGUCUCAAAACUGGCCAAAAUACUUGCCAGAUGUGGUACAAGCCUUAAACGAGCGUCCAAUAAAAAAGUAUAAGGGGCUGAGACCAAUAGGUAUUGCCACCCGAGAGACGGGAGUCAAAGUUGACGAAACCGUGGGAAUUGAAACGCCUAAAUUUUCAAGAACAAAGACAGAACUUUUACAAAUCCAAUCCGAAUAAGCUUCAGGAGGGGAUGUGGGUCUAUGCUACUAGGUGAGGAAAUCAAUCUGAUUUUGAGUAUUUUGACAAAGUAUGUAAAUCCUUUUCAAUUCUUAAAGGGAUCCAGUUUCAUUUCCCAAAGCAACCGAUCUUCAAGGAAACGAACUCUUUCAAAUAGCCAGAGUGCAAGCACAGGACGAACCAGUGCUCUAUUAUCUGAUUGAUUCGAAUAAGCAACAAGUGAGGGGCGCAUUUUAUAAAGAACAGCUCAUCAAAACCAACAAAUUCGAAGAUGAUGCUUUUUACGCUGUCGAAAGAAUCAUCAGAAGAACUAGCAGCAAGGCUCUGGUGAAGGUAAUUGAUCAACUCGCGCAUAAUGGGUUGCUUUUAUACUAUCAUUUUAAAUUCUAGUUUCAAGGGUACAGAAAGAAUGUUUGGAUCCCCAAUGAAGAUUUUGAAACUGGACCAGAUGACCUGAACCAUGGAGUACGGUAGUAGUGGAGUGGAAAGCUCUCUGAAACCUCGCUAGAAGACGUUUCAGUUUUGCGUUACCUCCUAAUCAAGUACCUGAACA